AUGAUAUGUUAUUAUUAUCAGUAACCGAUUUUAUUUCGACUACGUUUGUGUUUAAUUUCAGACUCUCAAAACCGUAAAAGGUGGCCAAGAAGUACGAUUUUUGUCCGCUGUCACCAGCGAAAAUAAAAGAUGAUCUUCCUAAUUUUGGUCCUAGUAAUUCUUGCGGGUACAAACAGUCAAGAAAUAAUUACAUUACAGAACAAGACCGAUUUUGUAUGCUUAGUGGAGGACAAAGAUUUGGUGAUCUACACGAAGCCACCUGUAGCUGAAGUUCCUGAAAAUACAGAAGUUCUCCUUGAAAAGGACUUCUUCUAUAACUGGACAUUAAAACAGUCUGAACAUGUAGCACAUGGACCAGUUAUCGACAAAAGAUGGGAAGGUUUCAAAACGAUAUAUAGGGAUCAGUAUAACUUUUCUAAAGUCGUCUCAGCGUCGUUUUCGAUUUAUUUUUCGAAUAUUCCUUGCAGGAUAAUGUUCAUUACGAGUGAAAAUGACUCUAAUAAUACCAAGCCAAUAAAUGUCACUUCUGCAUCUUGGACCCACUACACCCUGCAUUAUACAAAUAAAACUUUAACAGUUUAUGAAAAUGGUAGCAGUUGCCACGACGUAAGUUUGAAUUCGAAUUCCUUUGACUUUGUCGUCAAAACAACAUAUCGAACAGCAUGGAAAAUCCACAGCUAUAGAAUUAGAGUCGCAAAUGAAAGUUCUCCAACAGAAACAGUCGUGUCAACUGGUUCAACUGGUGUUUCUUGUUUGAUCUUUUAUAUUUAUCUUUGCCCGAAGUGUCUUCUGAAAAUCUACACAUCUGGAGGAAUGAACCGCACAGUGGAAAAUACACCUGAUUCCAUGAUGGAGAAUGAACUGUUCAAAAGUCAAAAAGUUUUAGUGAAAGUUAACACUACUCUCACGUUAGUUAGAGAAACACGUUCUGGAGCCGGAAAACCUUAUUGGGCAAUAGAUAUACGAGAGUGUCCCAGCAAAAAUCUCGAUACAUCAAUAUACAAGGCAAAGUUGAGCAAGACUAAAGAAAACAGAACGUGCGAACUCUUGUUUCCAAAAAAAGAGAGUGAAACCGAGCUCGUAAAGACAUUUCCACGUAUUAAUUGUACAGCUGGAUUUUUGGGACACAAAUGCGAUCUUCGCUGUGAUGAAUUGUUGGGACCAGAGGCAAGUUACUGCGAAAAUCACACAAUUUGUGGAAGAUCUUCAUCUAAUUCAAGCUGUGUGUGCUCCUGGGGAUUUCAGGGGUCGUCAUGCGCUGAACCAUGUAAGGAUGGAAUGUGGGGUUUAUCGUGUAAAAAUAAAUGCAUCAACUGUGGAAUAUGUGAUAAAAAGACAGGAGAAUGUAGCAAGGAUCACACUACAUCUGAAACAACUACCGUAAAAACUACAACUUUAUCAGAAGCAAGCAAUUCUAAUAACUUUACACUACCAGUUGUUCCAAAAUCUUCAAUGGAAGGCACAAUAAUAUUUUCAAACAUACUACCGCCAACAUCAAAUGACUCAACUAAAGCUUAUUUUGUGCUAUCUAAAAAGUAUUUUAUAAACUCAACAGGAGAAAUCAUUGCGUACGCUUUAUUAUUAUUUGAAGGGGACGUAGACAUUAAAAGUACAAAUGGAUUUUGGGAUGGAACUUUCAGAACUUGGCCUUCUUCACCUCAAAAUUCCUUACAGCUUACACCCGAUUUUUGGAAUCCGUUCAAAGAUGAACAACACACUUGCAACUUUAUAAUAGGGGCCAGCAGUAGUUGUUGUAAAGUACAUUGCUAUAAUACACCUUUAAAACCUAAUACCAGGUACUGGUUAAUGGUAAGAGCUCUGACGAAUCAAACAUAUAAUGACAGCACGCUACUAUUUUUUCAAACAGCUUCUGAUGCUAGUUCUGGUUCCACUAUUAUUUCACUAGCAGUAUUAAUGAGCCUAUUUCCGGUAAUGGUUAUUCUAAUAUAUGUAAUGUAUAAAAGAAGACGGAAAAAUCAAGCGAUUAUUGUUCAAGAAGAAGAAGAAAAAGAAGAAGAAGAAAUGAUUGUAAUGUUGGAUAAGACUCCUGAAACCACAGUGAUCGAAGUCAACACUUUUGAAAACUAUUGUUUGCAACCCACGUUUCUUACAACUUUAAAAACCCAGUUCGGUUCUCUUUCAGACAGUGUGCCCUCCAGUUCUAGCACUGGUUUACAACCGAAGAAUAUUAACAAGAAUAGGGAUCGAAGUCGAAUUGUUCCUUACGAUUCUAACAGAGUUGUUCUUAAUCCAAUGGAUGGCGUAGGAACUGAAGACUAUAUAAAUGCUAGCUACAUUGUUGGUUACGAUCGUCCAAAAGCUUACAUUGCUUGCCAGUCACCAAAAUUUUAUACUGUUAAAGAUUUUUGGAGGAUGAUAUGGCAAGAAGACGUUAGUGUUAUAAUAAUGGCAACAGAAUUUUUUGAACGCAAAGAGCGAAUGUGCGCGGAGUAUUGGCCGCAAAGAUUGUCAGAGGUAUAUGAAUGUGGUGAAAUUUUAGUAAAAUUGCUUAAAAAAACUACAUUUGAAGUAUAUAUUUACCAUGAGCUUCAAGUAAUUUAUGGUGACAACAUCAAAAUUAUCCAUAAUUAUCAUGUCAGGUGGAGUUUGGACAAUUUUAAUAUGCUUUACCCGAAUAACAUUUUACCUGUAGUAAAGUUAAUAAGACAACUGUAUGACAAAUCACAUGGACCAAUUGUCUUUCACUCAGGAUAUGGUACCAAUCAAAGUGGAAUUUUAAUUUUGUGCGAUUUAGCAUUACAGAUGAUCAAAACUGACAAUAAAGUUGACUUUUUCAGCUUAACUAAGGCACUCCGAGAGCAACGAAUGUCUAUGAUCAGCAGCGUGGAACAUUACAUAUUUUCGCACUUGGUUGUGGCUGAAUAUUUCUUAGAACAUAGAAGUCCCUUUCAGUAUUCGACUGGACAAAAGACAAGACGUGAUGAUAUAAAAAAAGAGCUUCAGUUUCUAGAAACUCUGCAUCGAUACGAUGCUAUUUUUCAUGACAGUAAUUUUCAUUACUGCAUACCUCGAUGUCCUUUUCAAAACGUAAAAGUUCUACGGUAUGGACAGAAAAGAAAGUAUGUAAUUUCCAAAGAACCAAGAAAGGAGCAGCUUUUGGAAUACUGGAAAAUGGUUGCAAGAGAAUCGAUUUCUUGUGUUUUAUUUAUAAAUAAGAAAUUUCCGUUGACGACCAUGAUACGUGGACAAACGGAAGUUGUUAAAAUUACCCGCGAACGAAUCACAGAUACGACAUAUGGCCUGAUAACGGAGGCUUCUUUAUUGAUAUAUAACAAAACUUCGAAUGAGAAGUUCUAUGACGACAGAUUACAUAUAUUUCAAUUUAAUGAUUGGAAAGUCAAUCAGUUCGUACCAAACUCGGUGCACACGUUUAUUUCUAUGGUUAACUAUAUUCACAGAUUCAAAGCCGAGGAUGAAUUAGUUUUAGUUUCUUGCAGUGAUGGAUUUACAGCUUGUGGUGUAUUUGUUGCUUUCUCGUAUAUCAUAGAAAAAUAUGAAAAGGAAGUAGAAAUUGAUGUUUGUAGUGCCUUGCGAACUGCAAGAAGGGGCGAAAAAUCGUUCGUCAACAGAGCGAUAGGCGAAAGCUUUGAACAAUAACUAACGAGUAUUGGAGUAAUAAGAUUUCAUUAAAAAAAAUAGUUUAGAGGGAAUGAUUCAUAAGCAGUUAACAUUUAUAUAUGAAUGCAUCGAGGAUUAUAUGGCAAAUUAUGACAAAUACGAACAAAUUGUAGGAAAAGAUAUAGAUACGAAUAAAAAUUAACAGUGAA
Zophobas morio is the source of this 3788-nucleotide RNA transcript. It is a transcript of the gene named receptor-type tyrosine-protein phosphatase alpha-like, with no coding region annotated. The record is from RefSeq and is a predicted model, not a curated record. The transcript has 22 exons. NCBI's taxonomy places the organism in Eukaryota, Metazoa, Arthropoda, Insecta, Coleoptera, Tenebrionidae.